Non-coding RNA from Callithrix jacchus (white-tufted-ear marmoset), 2135 nucleotides. NCBI's taxonomy places the organism in Eukaryota, Metazoa, Chordata, Mammalia, Primates, Cebidae. The record is from RefSeq and is a predicted model, not a curated record.
GUGUCCUUCCAGUGUCCUGUGUAAGCUGCUGGAUGCCUGCUGUGUGAAUUUUGGAGGAGGCAUGACAGUUUCUGCUCUGGGAAACAGAGGGUUCCUGGGGGUUAGAAGAGCUGCUUCAAUAUCAUUACUCUUCAAUCAGACAAUAGCAAACACCCUUCGGAUCUUACCAGAUAAAGAAGCUGAGACUCAGAGAGAAUAAAUGGACUACCUGAUGUCACCCAAGAAGGAGCAGUGUCAGGAUUUUAACUCGGUUCUCUUUCAUGCCAAAGUGUGUGCUUUGAACUCCAGGUUGCUGUGGUGUCAAAGGAGGGAACAUUUGGGCUUUCUUAUUAGCUUGCCCUGAUGGGGUAGUGGGAGAAGAAGUGAUGAUACUUGAAAGCCAUCAACAGUCAAACAUCAAAAAUGGCAUCAAACUCUACUGCAAAUUACAGCCCAGGCAUGUCUCUUCAUCAGUGCCCAACCCAGGCACCCUCUAGGUUGGUUUUUCUGAGGUGGCUGAAAUUCACUAAUAAGGUGAUACUGAACCCCUACAGAAAAUUGAUUUCAUAUUUCCAGAAGAGUUUUAGGUUUACAGCAUAAUUGAAUAAAAAGUACUGUACAGAGAGUUGCCAUAUACCCCAACAUGCUCAGCUCUCUGUCAACAUCCCCCACCAUUGAUUGACACAUCAUUAUCACUCAGGGUCCCUAGUUUACAUUAGGGCUCACUCUUGGUGCUGUACAUUCCAGGGAUUUGCAGAAAUGCAUCAUGGUGUAUCCUGCAUGUUACUUUUUACUGUUUCGACAUUUGUUCAGGCUGAGUUCUUUUGCAGACUGGUGAAAACUUCAUAGAUUCAGAAUCCAGUUUCAAGACACUUAUUGCUAUCAGUUCCCUUAGGAAUGAUGAGCUUCUGGGGAUUGACUUCAGGCUAACAAGGAACAUGGAUUGAUGUAUAAACAAGUGCCAACAUUAAUAUUCAGUGGGGAUUUACUUUUCUUGUCACGAGAAAACCUUAUCUCAUGUAGCUCUUCCCAUGAUCAAGCUUCCCUGGAAUCCAGGUUGCUAACCAAGAAAUUGUGAGGCAAACAUGAAUAUAUAAAAUCAUGAUAAAAUAAACUGAGUAGGCUUGAGGAAUAUUUCUUUUGAGUUACAGCAAAAAUUAAAGAAUUAUACUUUUACCAUGGAGUACAUAUCUCUAGUGACUUUUAUCAUGUAGAUUCCAGGUCUCUGGAUAAACUCUAACACAUGGUUAUUUUUCAACUCUGUUUUCUAAACUGCUUGCAGAUUGCACAUCAUUUUGUUAUCAUUUAUGAGCAAAAUGUGGUCUUCCAGGUUAUUCAAAGUCAAAGUUCAGGCUGUAGUUGCUUAAUUCUUUGAAGAGAGCUGGGGACACACCAGUCUUCUGCACUACUCAGUUCAAAGGGGCUGUUGUGGGUCACUUUCGCAGAAGGCUAAUCACAUUCUCUGUUAAUUAACUUCAGUUUCAGAGGAUGACUUUUAUGAUUUUGUUUCUAACUUUUGAGAGUGUCUUUGGAGUUUAUUCUACACUGAUUAUUUAGGAUCUGAAAUGAAGGUGUCAAAUACAUUAAGUAUAAAAAAUACCACUUGACAGAAUGGAAGUCUUAGAUAAGUACAGCAAAUUAUAAAAACAUAAAUUCUAUGGUUUCCCUCGAAAUCCCUCUUAUACCAACCCCACUCGUGCCCCCAACUUAGGUUGCUUAUGACACUUUGACAAAGUGAAUUCCAUGCUGACUCAGCCUCCAUCGUGUACCUCUGUUACCAGUUUUAUUCUCUUGGGGUCCUAAGACCAGGAUCUGCCAAAUUAAGUGUCACUUUCUAUUGAGCUGCUACCUUCAAAAAGACACUGUGAGAAGAAAUUUCCCAGCUUUCCAAGUGACGACGUUUUGGCUUAUCAGUAUUACAUUAACAAGUGCAAUUUCUGAACAUAAACAAAAGAAUAUAACUAAAACAAAGCAAUUUAUGAUGCUACUUUACUCUUAACAUUCCUUUAGUUACAAAAGAUUGAAACUAAAACAAAACAAUGUAACUAAUAAUUGUGGACUUGGCUCCAAACUUUAGUGGGUUUCUCUCAAGCUAUUCUUUAACAAUGAUAAAUAGCAAUUGAAAAAUAAAAAAAAAGAGAGACAUUAAAACUCAC